UGGGGAAUAUUGCACAAUGGGCGCAAGCCUGAUGCAGCCAUGCCGCGUGUGUGAAGAAGGCCUUCGGGUUGUAAAGCACUUUCAGCGGGGAGGAAGGCGAUAAGGUUAAUAACCUCAUCGAUUGACGUUACCCGCAGAAGAAGCACCGGCUAACUCCGUGCCAGCAGCCGCGGUAAUACGGAGGGUGCAAGCGUUAAUCGGAAUUACUGGGCGUAAAGCGCACGCAGGCGGUCUGUCAAGUCGGAUGUGAAAUCCCCGGGCUCAACCUGGGAACUGCAUUCAAAACUGGCAGGCUAGAGUCUUGUAGAGGGGGGUAGAAUUCCAGGUGUAGCGGUGAAAUGCGUAGAGAUCUGGAGGAAUACCGGUGGCGAAGGCGGCCCCCUGGACAAAGACUGACGCUCAGGUGCGAAAGCGUGGGGAGCAAACAGG
Molecule: ribosomal RNA, 429 nt
Filed under: Chloroflexota bacterium
Lineage: Bacteria; Bacillati; Chloroflexota
Description: Chloroflexi bacterium partial 16S ribosomal RNA
Rfam family: Bacterial small subunit ribosomal RNA
Source: RNAcentral